RNAcentral lists this transfer RNA (75 nucleotides) under Crocinitomicaceae bacterium. Its description in RNAcentral is "tRNA-Arg". It matches the Rfam family "tRNA". Rfam says of the family: Transfer RNA (tRNA) molecules are approximately 80 nucleotides in length. Their secondary structure includes four short double-helical elements and three loops (D, anti-codon, and T loops). Further hydrogen bonds mediate the characteristic L-shaped molecular structure. tRNAs have two regions of fundamental functional importance: the anti-codon, which is responsible for specific mRNA codon recognition, and the 3' end, to which the tRNAs corresponding amino acid is attached (by aminoacyl-tRNA synthetases). tRNAs cope with the degeneracy of the genetic code in two manners: having more than one tRNA (with a specific anti-codon) for a particular amino acid; and 'wobble' base-pairing, i.e. permitting non-standard base-pairing at the 3rd anti-codon position. The record is from RNAcentral. RNAcentral also lists the same sequence under 1 other name. Lineage: Bacteria; Pseudomonadati; Bacteroidota; Flavobacteriia; Flavobacteriales; Crocinitomicaceae.
GGGCAUAUGGUGUAAUGGAUAGCAUUUUGGCCUUCUAAGCCGAAGAUACGGGUUCGAUUCCUGUUAUGCCCGCCA